UCAGGAUGAACGCUAGCGACAGGCUAACACAUGCAAGUCGAGGGCAGCAUAGAAGUAGCAAUACUCGGUGGCGACCGGCGCGACGGUGAGUAACGCGUAUGCAACCUACCGUAUCGAGAGGGGAAGUAACCCGGCGAAAGUCGGACUAAUACCGCAUAAAACAGGGGCACCGCAUGGUGAUAUUUGUUAAAGAAAUUCGCUGAUAGAUGGGCAUGCGUUCCAUUAGGUAGUUGGUGAGGUAACGGCUCACCAAGCCGACGAUGGAUAGGGGAACUGAGAGGUUGGUCCCCCACACUGGUACUGAGACACGGACCAGACUCCUACGGGAGGCAGCAGUGAGGAAUAUUGGUCAAUGGGCGGGAGCCUGAACCAGCCAAGUCGCAUGAAGGAAAAGAAGGAUCUAUGGUUCGUAAACUUCUUUUGCAGGGGAAUAAAGUGCAGGACGUGUCCUGUUUUGUAUGUACCCUGAGAAUAAGGAUCGGCUAACUCCGUGCCAGCAGCUGC
RNAcentral lists this ribosomal RNA (504 nucleotides) under uncultured bacterium. RNAcentral describes it as "bacterial SSU rRNA". It matches the Rfam family "Bacterial small subunit ribosomal RNA", at positions 24 to 518 of the family's 1533-position model. The record is from RNAcentral.